Molecule: ribosomal RNA, 305 nt
Filed under: uncultured bacterium
Lineage: Bacteria
Description: partial 16S ribosomal RNA
Rfam family: Bacterial small subunit ribosomal RNA
Source: RNAcentral
ACAGCAGUCGCCGCGGGAAUACGUAGGUCCCGAGCGUUGUCCGGAUUUAUUGGGCGUAAAGCGAGCGCAGGCGGUUAGAUAAGUCUGAAGUUAAAGGCUGUGGCUUAACCAUAGUACGCUUUGGAAACUGUUUAACUUGAGUGCAAGAGGGGAGAGUGGAAUUCCAUGUGUAGCGGUGAAAUGCGUAGAUAUAUGGAGGAACACCGGUGGCGAAAGCGGCUCUCUGGCUUGUAACUGACGCUGAGGCUCGAAAGCGUGGGGCGCAAACAGGAUUAGAUACCCGCGUAGUCCCUGUCUCUUAUACA